UACGUAGGGUGCAAGCGUUAAUCGGAAUUACUGGGCGUAAAGCGUGCGCAGGAGGUUAUAUAAGACAGAUGUGAAAUCCCCGGGCUCAACCUGGGAACUGCAUUUGUGACUGUAUAGCUAGAGUACGGUAGAGGGGGAUGGAAUUCCGCGUGUAGCAGUGAAAUGCGUAGAUAUGCGGAGGAACACCGAUGGCGAAGGCAAUCCCCUGGACCUGUACUGACGCUCAUGCACGAAAGCGUGGGGAGCAAACAGG
This 253-nucleotide ribosomal RNA is filed under the name uncultured bacterium. RNAcentral describes it as "partial 16S ribosomal RNA". It matches the Rfam family "Bacterial small subunit ribosomal RNA", at positions 524 to 776 of the family's 1533-position model. The record is from RNAcentral.